Molecule: ribosomal RNA, 690 nt
Filed under: uncultured bacterium
Lineage: Bacteria
Description: bacterial SSU rRNA
Rfam family: Bacterial small subunit ribosomal RNA
Source: RNAcentral
AGAGUUUGAUCAUGGCUCAGAUUGAACGCUGGCGGCAGGCUUAACACAUGCAAGUCGAGCGGAAACGGCAUAGGCAAUCCCUUCGGGGUGCGCUUAUGGACGUCGAGCGGCGGACGGGUGAGUAAUGCCUGGGAAUCUGCCUGGUAGUGGGGGAUAACUUGCCGAAAGGUAAGCUAAUACCGCGUACGCCCUACGGGGGAAAGCAGGGGAUCUUCGGACCUUGCGCUAUCAGAUGAGCCCAGGCCGGAUUAGCUAGUUGGUAGGGUAAAGGCCUACCAAGGCGACGAUCCGUAGCUGGUCUGAGAGGAUGAUCAGCCACACCGGGACUGAGACACGGCCCGGACUCCUACGGGAGGCAGCAGUGGGGAAUAUUGGACAAUGGGGGGAACCCUGAUCCAGCCAUGCCGCGUGUGUGAAGAAGGUCUUCGGAUUGUAAAGCACCUUAAGUUGGGAGGAAGAGCUCCGGGCUAAUACCCUGCGAGUUUUGACGUUACCAACAGAAUAAGCACCGGCUAACUUCGUGCCAGCAGCCGCGGUAAUACGAAGGGUGCGAGCGUUAAUCGGAAUUACUGGGCGUAAAGCGCGCGUAGGUGGUUUGUUAAGUUGGAAGUGAAAGCCCCGGGCUUAACCUGGGAAUUGCUUUCAAAACUGACGGGCUAGAGUACGGUAGAGGGUAGUGGAAUUUCCUGU